RNAcentral lists this ribosomal RNA (457 nucleotides) under uncultured microorganism. RNAcentral's name for it is "bacterial SSU rRNA". It matches the Rfam family "Bacterial small subunit ribosomal RNA", at positions 346 to 794 of the family's 1533-position model. The record is from RNAcentral.
GUGCACCAGUCGCGAAUAGUCUACAAUGGACGAAAGUCUGAUAGUGCGACGCCGUGUGUGCGAUUAAUUCCUUCGGGAUGUAAAGCACUUUUCUAUGAGAUAAAAGCUCUUUAGGUUAAUAGCUUAUUGAGACGGAUAUUAUUAUAGGAAUAAGCUCCGGCUAACUCCGUGCCAGCAGCCGCGGUAAUACGGAAGGAGCGAGCGUUGUCCGGAUUUACUAGGCGUAAAGGGCUAGUAGGCGACUAAUUAAGUUAUAUGUUAAAUCCCACGGCUCAACUGUGGUCCUGCAUGUAAUACUGGUUAGAUAGAGUACUGUAGAGGAAGGCAGAAUUCCUGGAGUAGCGGUGGAAUGCGCAGAUAUCAGGAAGAAUACCAAAAGCGAAGGCAGCCUUCUGGGCAGUUACUGACGCUGAAUAGCGAAGGUGUGGGUAGCGAACAGGAUUAGAUACCGUGUAGU